This 314-nucleotide unclassified non-coding RNA is filed under the name plant metagenome. RNAcentral's name for it is "partial contains 5.8S ribosomal RNA, internal transcribed spacer 2, and large subunit ribosomal RNA". The stretch from base 1 to 105 matches the Rfam family "5.8S ribosomal RNA", at positions 50 to 154 of the family's 154-position model. The record is from RNAcentral.
GAAAUGCGAUAAUUAAUGUGAAUUUCAGAAUUCAGUGAAUCAUCGAGUCUUUGAACGCACAUUGCGCCCCCUGGUAUUCCGGGGGGCAUGCCUGUCCGAGCGUCAUUGCUGCCCUCAAGCACGGCUUGUGUGUUGGGCUUCCGUCCCUGGCAACGGGGACGGGCCCAAAAGGCAGUGGCGGCACCAUGUCUGGUCCUCGAGCGUAUGGGGCCUUGUCACCCGCUCCCGUAGGUCCAGCUGGCAGCUAGCCUCGCAACCAAUCUUUUUAACCAGGUUGACCUCGGAUCAGGUAGGGAUACCCGCUGAACUUAAGC